Molecule: transfer RNA, 76 nt
Filed under: Candidatus Desulfofervidus auxilii
Lineage: Bacteria; Pseudomonadati; Thermodesulfobacteriota; Candidatus Desulfofervidia; Candidatus Desulfofervidales; Candidatus Desulfofervidaceae
Description: tRNA-Thr
Rfam family: tRNA
About the family: Transfer RNA (tRNA) molecules are approximately 80 nucleotides in length. Their secondary structure includes four short double-helical elements and three loops (D, anti-codon, and T loops).
Source: RNAcentral
GCUGGUGUAGCUCAAUAGGCAGAGCGGCUGAUUCGUAAUCAGCAGAUUGUGGGUUCAAGUCCCUCCGCCAGCUCCA